GUAAUAAUCAUACUUGAGAAAUUUUAAAUGUCAAAAAAAUACUACUUUCUGUAUAAAUGGCCAUUGCUGCAUGGUUUAUUUUAGUUUCAAAACUGGCCAAGAAUAGCCUUGUUUUUAAAAUUGGAAAUAGUUCCAAUUUACAAUAAUGUUGCAAGAAUGGUAAAAUAAACCCCAUAUACAUUUCACCACUGUACAGCAAGUGUUAACGUUCUGCCACAUUUGCUUUAUCACAGAAGUGUAACUUGCUUACAGCUUGCCUCUUGAUCCCCAAAUACUUAAGCAUAUUUCUUUCCAAAACAAGGACCUUUAGUUUGUCCCGGUGUUGGUGGUGGUAACUUUGACCACAUGGAUGCAGUGAUGCAGAAUCACAUUUAUUUUUUUAGUUAACAAAAGUUUUAAUUGUUGAUUAAUUUUAAUGUGGGGAAAUUGUGUAUGAAUAUGUAAAAUACCCAUAAAAUUUGCCAUCAUAGAGGACAGUUUUUAAGUAUGCAGUUGGUGGCAAUACAGUAUUCACUUUGUUGUGCAACAAUCACUACUUCCCAUCUCCAGAAAUCUCAGCUUGCAAAACUGAAACUACCCUUUGGACAGUCACUACUUUCUCCCCUCUCCCCUUAGCCUGGCAAGCGCCAUUCCACUUUGUCUCCAAUUUUGGCUGCUCUGGGUAUCUCAUGUCUUUGAUCCAUUUUGAGUUAACUUGCAUUUGAUUUAAGGUAAUUGCUCUGGCUAGGACUUCUAGUACUGUUUGAUUAGAAGUCUCAAAAUCAGGCAUCCUGGGACUUCCCUGGUGGUCCAGUUGUUAAGAAUCCGCCUGCAAUGCAAGGGAUGUGGGGUUGAUUGCUGGUCGGGGAGCUAAGACCUCACAUGCCACAGAGCAACAAAGCCUGGGCACGACAAAUAGCCUGUGCACUACAACGAAAGAUCCUGCCUGCUGCCACUAAGACCAGAAGCAGCCACAUCAGUCAAUCCAAUAAAUAUUUUUUCAAUGGGCAUCCUUAAUUUCUCCUGAUCUUAGAGGAAGAGCUUUCAGUUUUCCACCACAGAGUAUGAUGUUAUCUGUGGGCUUGUCAUGUAUGGCCUUUAUUAUCUUGUUAUAGUUUCCUGCCGUUCAGUUUGUUGAAUGUUUUUUUAUCAUGAAAAGAUGUUGAAUUUUGUCAAAUACUUUUUCUGCAUCAGUUAAGAUGGUCAUGUGGUUUUUACCCUUUGUUUUGUUAAUGUGAUGUAUUACACUUAUUGAU
This is a non-coding RNA of Odocoileus virginianus texanus, 1235 nucleotides long. The record is from RefSeq and is a predicted model, not a curated record. NCBI's taxonomy places the organism in Eukaryota, Metazoa, Chordata, Mammalia, Artiodactyla, Cervidae.